AUUUGGAACUCUGUAUGUCAUUUUUACCUUCAAUUCAUCUGUUUUCGGGAAGUUUUGCUCAUCUCACACAACGCUAAACUUUAAGUGAGUCAGAGUCCUUCCUGUUCCAAGUCACAAUGAGCUGGAGCUUCUUAACUAGCCUCUUAGAAGAAAUUCACAACCAUUCGACAUAUUUGGGAAAAAUUUGGCUCAUGGUCCUUGUGGUUUUUCGGAUCGUUCUCACUGCCGUGGGUGGCGAGUCCAUCUAUUCUAAUGAACAGAGCAGCUUUGUGUGUAACACACUCCAGCUGGGCUGCAAGAAUCUAUGCAAUGAACAAGAUUCCCCGUUUGGAAGAAGGCAAAGAGGGCACUUCAGUGAAAUUUUCCGAGAGUAGAAAGUUUCCCCUGGGCAGACGUCAGACAGACAAGCAGUGAGGGAGCAACCAUGGCAGCGAAAUGGCUGAGUGGAAGCUGUCUGUUUGGAUUUAAGAUGCAAACCAAUAAGAUCUGCUCCAAAACCAAAAGUGAACUUUUAUCAAUACUGCCAAGAUUUUCUUUUUCUGGAGACACAGGAGAGGCCAUCUGUGUUAGACACACUUUUAGUAUUUUUUUUGCUACACAGACAGAGCACAGAUAAUUUUUGUUUUUGUUUUUUUUUUUGUUUUUAUGGCAGCAAUAGAUUGAAAAUGUUCCUUCAGCUAAGCUUUUUGGAUCCACUUUAUAGUGGAUGAAUUAAAAUGGAAAAAAAAACUUUUUUUUUUUUGUUUUGUUAGCUGUAUUUAUUCUGUUAGCUCAGAAUAAUUACAACAUUCACACAGUGCUAGCAUUAGGGCUGCUGGCAUAAGGACUGGUAUUGAUUAUUUCAGCCAACAUUUAAAGGAAUAUGCCAAGGGCCGAGAGUUUUUGGAUAUCAGACCUGAAAUAGUUUUCCUUUAAACAUUGAGCUUAUCUAGAGCACAAUCAUAGGAAUAUUCGAAAAGGAACUGAACUGAGGUAACAGUUAGUGUCUGAUUCUCAUUGAGGAUAGUGUUGUUUUGCUGAUGAACUGCACUUUGGGUAAAAGUUAAAGCAUUUCCUGGUUGUUUUCUUACUCGUUGUUAUUUUUGUAUUUUUUUUUAUAAAUAAUAUAAAGUGAGUAAGAUUCUCAAGAGAGAAUCGACUUAUCAGCAUUACCCAAAGUGCAUUGUUGCAGUUUGCGUUUCAAGAUGGAUGAUUAAUCUAAAUUUCACAUGUUAACAGUAGCAAUAAAAUACUUUAUUUCCUACAUAUAAAGGUUUUUGUUUCCUCUAACAUGAAAUUUCAGUUUACAGCAGGCUCAUGAAUAUAAAUUUGUGAUUUAACAUGCUCUGAAAAGAUGAGGUUGUUUUAUUACAACAUAAUCAUUGUUUUUUAGUUUUCUCACAACAAUAGCAAGUUAAACAUGUGGCAAAUUAACCAGCAAACUUGGUCCUAAAUUGUGUUCUGUGGUAAAUUGUGUUCUUGUGUUCUUCAUACAGCCACCGAUGGUGAGACAGCAACUCAUGCAGUAAUGUUGGUAAAAACAGGGCACUUCAGCACCAUUGGUGUGGGUGUGGGGCAGGGCUGCAGCAACAGCAGCAGGCCAAUCAGAGCCUGCAAAGUGAAGACAUGACACAAAUAAUGGAUAUCUUCAAUAAAUUAUGUAAAACAUGAAUAAAUGUGUUUUAUAGCUUA
Tachysurus fulvidraco (yellow catfish) is the source of this 1671-nucleotide long non-coding RNA. RefSeq lists it as uncharacterized. The transcript has 3 exons. The record is from RefSeq and is a predicted model, not a curated record. NCBI's taxonomy places the organism in Eukaryota, Metazoa, Chordata, Actinopteri, Siluriformes, Bagridae.